UGGGGAAUAUUGGACAAUGGGCGAAAGCCUGAUCCAGCCAUGCCGCGUGAGUGAUGAAGGCCUUAGGGUUGUAAAGCUCUUUCGCCAGGGAAGAUAAUGACGGUACCUGGAUAAGAAGCCCCGGCUAACUUCGUGCCAGCAGCCGCGGUAAUACGUAGGGAGCAAGCGUUGUUCGGAUUUACUGGGCGUAAAGGGCGCGUAGGCGGCGCGGUAAGUCACUUGUGAAAUCUCUGAGCUUAACUCAGAACGGCCAAGUGAUACUGCUGUGCUAGAGUGCGGAAGAGGCAACCGGAAUUCUUGGUGUAGCGGUGAAAUGCGUAGAUAUCAAGAGGAACACCUGAGGCGAAGGCGGGUUGCUGGGCCGACACUGACGCUGAUGCGCGAAAGCCAGGGGAGCAAACG
This 402-nucleotide ribosomal RNA is filed under the name uncultured bacterium. RNAcentral describes it as "bacterial SSU rRNA". It matches the Rfam family "Bacterial small subunit ribosomal RNA", at positions 355 to 774 of the family's 1533-position model. The record is from RNAcentral.